RNAcentral lists this ribosomal RNA (253 nucleotides) under uncultured bacterium. RNAcentral describes it as "partial 16S ribosomal RNA". It matches the Rfam family "Bacterial small subunit ribosomal RNA", at positions 524 to 776 of the family's 1533-position model. The record is from RNAcentral.
GACAGAGGGUGCAAACGUUGUUCGGAAUUACUGGGCGUAAAGCGUGUGUAGGCGGCCGCGUAAGUCGGAUGUGAAAGCCCUGGGCUCAACCCAGGAAGUGCACUCGAUACUGCGUGGCUCGAGUACUGGAGAGGUUGGUGGAAUUCUCGGUGUAGAGGUGAAAUGCGCAGAUAUCAGGAGGAACACCGAUGGCGAAGGCAGCUCGCUGGGACGGUACUGACGCUGAGACGCGAAAGCGUGGGGAGCAAACAGG